AUUGCACUGAGAAGCUCCGCCCCCUCACACUUCUCUCCAAUUUUUUCGAGUCCGCCAUUUUUUCUUCAUCGCUUCACUUCGGCAAGUGGCUGCUACACGUCUCAAGUAACGUGCAGGCAACAAAAUCUGCCAUAAUCGUUCCUGAGCACAGCAGUGCUGGUAGAAAAUGCUACUAAAAGUUAAAAUAGCCAACGUCCAAAAGUUUGUUCGAGUUCCAGAGCUGAAUCUGAGAG
Molecule: long non-coding RNA, 233 nt
Organism: Periophthalmus magnuspinnatus
Lineage: Eukaryota; Metazoa; Chordata; Actinopteri; Gobiiformes; Gobiidae
Exons: 3
Source: RefSeq, a predicted model, not a curated record